RNAcentral lists this ribosomal RNA (794 nucleotides) under Streptomyces sp. RNAcentral's name for it is "bacterial SSU rRNA". It matches the Rfam family "Bacterial small subunit ribosomal RNA", at positions 67 to 873 of the family's 1533-position model. Lineage: Bacteria; Bacillati; Actinomycetota; Actinomycetes; Kitasatosporales; Streptomycetaceae. The record is from RNAcentral.
CGAUGAACCUCCUUCGGGAGGGGAUUAGUGGCGAACGGGUGAGUAACACGUGGGCAAUCUGCCCUGCACUCCGGGACAAGCCCUGGAAACGGGGUCUAAUACCGGAUACGACUCUCGCGGGCAUCCGCGAGGGUGGAAAGCUCCGGCGGUGCAGGAUGAGCCCGCGGCCUAUCAGCUGGUUGGUGGGGUAACGGCCCACCAAGGCGACGACGGGUAGCCGGCCUGAGAGGGCGACCGGCCACACUGGGACUGAGACACGGCCCAGACUCCUACGGGAGGCAGCAGUGGGGAAUAUUGCACAAUGGGCGCAAGCCUGAUGCAGCGACGCCGCGUGAGGGAUGACGGCCUUCGGGUUGUAAACCUCUUUCAGCAGGGAAGAAGCGCAAGUGACGGUACCUGCAGAAGAAGCGCCGGCUAACUACGUGCCAGCAGCCGCGGUAAUACGUAGGGCGCGAGCGUUGUCCGGAAUUAUUGGGCGUAAAGAGCUCGUAGGCGGCCUGUCACGUCGGGUGUGAAAGCCCGGGGCUUAACCCCGGGUCUGCAUUCGAUACGGGCAGGCUGGAGUUCGGCAGGGGAGAUCGGAAUUCCUGGUGUAGCGGUGAAAUGCGCAGAUAUCAGGAGGAACACCGGUGGCGAAGGCGGAUCUCUGGGCCGAUACUGACGCUGAGGAGCGAAAGCGUGGGGGAGCGAACAGGAUUAGAUACCCUGGUAGUCCACGCCGUAAACGUUGGGCACUAGGUGUGGGAUCCAUUCCACGGGUUCCGUGCCGCAGCUAACGCAUUAAGUGCCCCGCC